Molecule: long non-coding RNA, 429 nt
Organism: Callithrix jacchus (white-tufted-ear marmoset)
Lineage: Eukaryota; Metazoa; Chordata; Mammalia; Primates; Cebidae
Source: RefSeq, a predicted model, not a curated record
CGGGUUACCGGUGCACGUCCGGCCGCAGAGUUUCCCAAGGGAAGGCCGGUGUGCCUCUGCGUUACAGGGAAAGGCGCUUAGAACUUUCUGAGUGGUCCCAGAAACCAGUGAGGGCGCAUUUUCCGGCGCGGACAGGGUGGAUGGACUGACUGAAUUAAGUGCACCUGAGGCGUGGAAAGACCGUCGCGACGGCACGAGGCCUCCGUCCUCUUGUUUCCCUUGGUUGAACCAAGGCGGGGCCCGGCUGGGGGGUGAGAAGCACAAGUUAAUUAACAGUUCACUGUCGAGGUCGUAGUCUUGCCUUUUUAAAAUUUGUGCUCUGGUCCUAGCCGUGAGUUAAACAUUUUAUUUUGUCUGAGUUAUACUUCCAUAAUGGUAAAAUGACGUUCAGAAAUGCGGAUUUUCCAAUACAACUGUGACAAACUGUGA